UGCAAGUCGAACGAUGAUCCCCAGCUUGCUGGGGGGAUUAGUGGCGAACGGGUGAGUAACACGUGAGUAACCUGCCCUUGACUCUGGGAUAAGCGUUGGAAACGACGUCUAAUACCGGAUAUGACUCCUGGCCGCAUGGUCUGGGGGUGGAAAGAUUUUUUGGUCAAGGAUGGACUCGCGGCCUAUCAGGUAGUUGGUGAGGUAAUGGCUCACCAAGCCGACGACGGGUAGCCGGCCUGAGAGGGUGACCGGCCACACUGGGACUGAGACACGGCCCAGACUCCUACGGGAGGCAGCAGUGGGGAAUAUUGCACAAUGGGCGAAAGCCUGAUGCAGCAACGCCGCGUGAGGGACGACGGCCUUCGGGUUGUAAACCUCUUUUAGUAGGGAAGAAGGGAGCUUGCUCUUGACGGUACCUGCAGAAAAAGCACCGGCUAACUACGUGCCAGCAGCCGCGGUAAUACGUAGGGUGCAAGCGUUGUCCGGAAUUAUUGGGCGUAAAGAGCUCGUAGGCGGUUUGUCGCGUCUGCUGUGAAAUCUGGGGGCUCAACCCCCAGCCUGCAGUGGGUACGGGCAGACUAGAGUGCGGUAGGGGAGAUUGGAAUUCCUGGUGUAGCGGUGGAAUGCGCAGAUAUCAGGAGGAACACCGAUGGCGAAGGCAGAUCUCUGGGCCGUAACUGACGCUGAGGAGCGAAAGCAUGGGGAGCGAACAGGAUUAGAUACCCUGGUAGUCCAUGCCGUAAACGUUGGGAACUAGAUGUAGGGGCCAUUCCACGGUUUCUGUGUCGCAGCUAACGCAUUAAGUUCCCCGCCUGGGGAGUACGGCCGCAAGGCUAAAACUCAAAGGAAUUGACGGGGGCCCGCACAAGCGGCGGAGCAUGCGGAUUAAUUCGAUGCAACGCGAAGAACCUUACCAAGGCUUGACAUAUACCGGAAACGUCCAGAGAUGGUCGCCCCGCAAGGUCGGUAUACAGGUGGUGCAUGGUUGUCGUCAGCUCGUGUCGUGAGAUGUUGGGUUAAGUCCCGCAACGAGCGCAACCCUCGUUCUAUGUUGCCAGCACGUUAUGGUGGGAACUCAUAGGA
RNAcentral lists this ribosomal RNA (1083 nucleotides) under Frondihabitans sp. 734G114. Its description in RNAcentral is "bacterial SSU rRNA". It matches the Rfam family "Bacterial small subunit ribosomal RNA", at positions 56 to 1146 of the family's 1533-position model. Lineage: Bacteria; Bacillati; Actinomycetota; Actinomycetes; Micrococcales; Microbacteriaceae. RNAcentral also lists the same sequence under 1 other name. The record is from RNAcentral.